ACAUGCACUCUGCUACCCCCGGCAACACAAAGCUCCAUUCCGAAUACCGCAAAGACCAGUGGGGAUUUAUAGCGAGUGAGGGGGUCAGUGGAUGGACACUCAGUAAGAGGAGAUAUCAAGAGUAGGGGAAUUCUUGCUAAACCCCCUUAACAGGAUCCUUGCUGAAGGCCGACCAGUGAUCAGAUGUCAAGAGUGGGGGAGAAUCUUCUAGAGAAAGAUUGGCAGCUGCUUAAUUGAAGCAGAGUUCAAUGGACAGAAAACAAAAACACAGAUUUCUCCCUGAGGAAAACAACAAGACUUUGGAUUUUUGAAAGGAACUGAAGUUAUUUCCUAGGGAGUCGAGAACCUUCAAGGCUAUGCUGACCAAGGCGCUGAGACCAUGGACAGCUGGCUAGGACACGCCCACGGUGGGACCCGCCCCCCCC
This 425-nucleotide long non-coding RNA is filed under the name Equus asinus (donkey). Its description in RNAcentral is "lncRNA (ENSEASG00005025109.1)". Lineage: Eukaryota; Metazoa; Chordata; Mammalia; Perissodactyla; Equidae. The record is from RNAcentral.